Molecule: long non-coding RNA, 619 nt
Organism: Peromyscus maniculatus bairdii (prairie deer mouse)
Lineage: Eukaryota; Metazoa; Chordata; Mammalia; Rodentia; Cricetidae
Source: RefSeq, a predicted model, not a curated record
GCAGAGACCACAUACUUAGGACCAGGAUGUGGAGGGAUUGGGCUGGACUGACCUGAAAGCCUCUUCUUUGGGAACAAACCUCAUAGUCUGACGAUCCUAUGCAAGUUGCCAAGAGAGGAAAGCAACCACUAGUCCUGUCCGUCCAGCUGUAAGGCUUACAAACUGUAACGAUGACCACCAGCCCGGAAAGACGUCUGCAAAGAUGAAACGUCGUGGACUUUCAUAAGACCCUUCCUGGUGUGAUAGAAUUCAUACUGUAAACCGAGCCAACUGCCGUGCCUGCUGAGGUCACGAACUCUAGACGAGGACCUUCUACUGCCGGUUUCCUCAACCAGUGUGAUUUCUUUCUGACUACAUUCUGAAUAGUUAUCUUUAUACUUAAAGCAGAAAGAACCACUUUAUUGUAAUGAUGACUGGCUUGUGAACUGCCUGGUUUGAUGGUUAAAGUAUGUACGGCACAGAAGAGGAAGGCCUUCUAAACUGAAAGGAAACACCUGGAGAUUUGCACAGUUUUAACAAUUUAUGAGAAAGGAUGUCUGACUAUAAAGAGGAACGGAGCAUUUUAAUAAAUCUUUUAUCAUUGUUUUCCACUGUAAACAGCAAUAGAUGAGACAAAAAU